This 253-nucleotide ribosomal RNA is filed under the name uncultured bacterium. Its description in RNAcentral is "partial 16S ribosomal RNA". It matches the Rfam family "Bacterial small subunit ribosomal RNA", at positions 524 to 776 of the family's 1533-position model. The record is from RNAcentral.
GACGUAGGAGGCGAGCGUUAUCCGGAUUCACUGGGCGUAAAGCGCGUGUAGGCGGCUCGAUAAGUCGUGUGUUAAAGCCCCUGGCUCAACUGGGGGAGGUCAUGCGAGACUAUCGGACUUGAGGGCAGUAGAGGCACGUGGAACUCCCGGUGUAGCGGUGGAAUGCGUAGAGAUCGGGAAGAACACCCGUGGCGAAGGCGACGUGCUGGGCUGCAACUGACGCUGAGACGCGAAAGCGUGGGGAGCGAACAGG